GACGAACGCUGGCGGCGUGCCUAGUACAUGCAAGUUGAGCGCUGAAGGUUGGUACCUGUACCAACUGGAUGAGCAGCGAACGGGCGAGUAACGCGUGGGGAAUCUGCCUUUGGGCGGGGGACAACAUUUGGAAACGAAUGCUAAUACCGCAUAAAAACUUUAAACACAAGUUUUAAGUUUGAAAGAUGCAAUUGCAUCACUCAAAGAUGAUCCCGCGUUGUAUUAGCUAGUUGGUGAGGUAAAGGCUCACCAAGGCGAUGAUACAUAGCCGACCUGAGAGGGUGAUCGGCCACAUUGGGACUGAGACACGGCCCAAACUCCUACGGGAGGCAGCAGUAGGGAAUCUUCGGCAAUAGACGAAAGUCUGACCGAGCAACGCCGCGUGAGUGAAGAAGGUUUUCGGAUCGUAAAACUCUGUUGGUAGAGAAGAACGUUGGUGAGAGUGGAAAGCUCAUCAAGUGACGGUAACUACCCAGAAAGGGACGGCUAACUACGUG
RNAcentral lists this ribosomal RNA (497 nucleotides) under uncultured bacterium. Its description in RNAcentral is "partial 16S ribosomal RNA". It matches the Rfam family "Bacterial small subunit ribosomal RNA", at positions 28 to 507 of the family's 1533-position model. The record is from RNAcentral.